This 253-nucleotide unclassified non-coding RNA is filed under the name uncultured Lachnospiraceae bacterium. Its description in RNAcentral is "contains 16S-23S intergenic spacer region". It matches the Rfam family "Bacterial small subunit ribosomal RNA", at positions 524 to 776 of the family's 1533-position model. Lineage: Bacteria; Bacillati; Bacillota; Clostridia; Lachnospirales; Lachnospiraceae. The record is from RNAcentral.
UACGUAGGGGGCAAGCGUUAUCCGGAUUUACUGGGUGUAAAGGGAGCGUAGGUGGCCAGACAAGUCAGAUGUGAAAACCCGGGGCUCAACCCCGGGACUGCAUUUGAAACUGUCCGGCUUGAGUGCAGGAGAGGUAAGUGGAAUUCCUAGUGUAGCGGUGAAAUGCGUAGAUAUUAGGAGGAACACCAGUGGCGAAGGCGGCUUACUGGACUGUAACUGACACUGAGGCUCGAAAGCGUGGGGAGCAAACAGG